This 1894-nucleotide long non-coding RNA is filed under the name Sarcophilus harrisii (Tasmanian devil). Its description in RNAcentral is "lncRNA (ENSSHAG00000031292.1)". Lineage: Eukaryota; Metazoa; Chordata; Mammalia; Dasyuromorphia; Dasyuridae. The record is from RNAcentral.
CUCAGAAUUAAGUGACUUGCCCAGUCACACAGCAAGUAAGAAUUAAGUAUCUAAAGCUGGAUUUGAAUUCAGGUCUUUCUUCUUAACUCUAGGCCCAGUGCCCUAUCCACCGAGCCUCCUAGCAGUCUGGUAUUACAGAUGAGGACACUGAGACUCAGAGAGGUAAAGAGACUCCUUUAAAUUUCUCAUAGUUAGUAAGUGGCUGAACUGAAAUCCCUACUGAUAACUCUAAAUUCAGUGCUCUUUCCACUCUUUUACUCUGUGUAGCAAUUGCCAGAAAUCUUUAGUGAGCAUUGGAAGGGCUCAUGAAAAGAACCUGAGCAGUUCUAGGGUGUUCAAAUGAAUUUCUGGGAAGGAACAGGACACAGGAGAAUUCCUGAGCAGCCUCAAGGGUUUCUGAGCUGGAAAAUCAUGUGAUAAGAAGAGAGGAACAGGAACCAGAAAUAGUAGCAGCAGGAACUUCUCUAAGAACUCAAAGAAGUUCCAGAACUGAACUACAAAAGGUCCCCUCAAAGCUCACCUGGGAUCAGGGAUCUGGCUACUUGGGAGCUUCCUAUUUCAACUAAUGUUUCUUGCUAGUGAUGUUAUUUUUCAUUGUUCUCAAAGAGGAGCAUAACUUAGAAAUGAUAUGGAUUUAAGUGAGGGGAGGCUGGGCAAGGUCACCUGCCUCUUGUUCCCCUCCAGAGCCAGCUGGAUCCAAUGGCAAGAUAUAGAUCAGGAGUAGAGUUGGCCCUGAAUACAAUGGCAGACCUUGGCCUUUUGAAACUCAAGUCUUCAACAGGUCUCAGAGAGUUCUCAGUCAAUAGGAAGAUAAUAUUGAAGAUACAUAGAGAUAUUAGAGAUGUUAGAAGUGACUGUAGGAAAAAACACAACCAUUCAUUCCUCCUUCAAGAUGGAUAUGGAAUAGAAGGAGGUACUGCAACUGACCAUUCAGUGAUUAAGGUCAGAUGAUCUUGAUUUUGGCCUUUUUUGUACUUCACAGACUAUACAGAAACUAUUGAAUUAUGGUUUGGCUUACACCUGUCGGAUUGGCUAAGAUGACAGGAAAAGAUAAGGAAGAAUGUUGGAGAGGAUGUGGGAAAACUGGGACACUGAUACAUUGUUCGUGAGACUGUGAACGGAUCCAACCAUUCUGGACAACAGUUCGUAACUAUGCUCAAAAAGUUAUCAAACUGCCCAUACCCUUUGAUUCAGCAGUGUUUCUACUGGGCUUAUAUCCCAAAGAGAUCUUAAAAGAGGGAAAGGGACCUACAUGUGCCAAAAUGUUUGUGGCAGUCUUUUUUGUAGUGGCUAGAAAUGGGAAACUGAUUGGAUGCCCAUCAAUUGGAGAAUGGCUGAGUAAAUUAUGGUGUACGAAUGUUAUGGAAUAUUAUUGUUCUAUAAGAAACGACCAGCAAGAUGAUUUCAGAGAGGCCUGGAGAGACUUACAUGAACUGAUGCUGAGUGAAUUGAGUAGAACCAGGAGAUCAUUACACAUGGCAACAAGAAGACCAUACAAUGAUCAGUUCUGAUGGAUAUGGCUCUCGUCAACAAUGAGAUGAUUCAAACAAGUUCCAGUUGUUCAGUGAUGAAGAAAGCCAUAUACAUCCAAAAAGAAUCCUGUGAAAACUGAGUAUGGAUCACAACAUAGGAUUUUCAUGCUUUCUAUUGAUAUUUGCUUGCAUUUUGUUUUCCUUCUCAAGUUUUAUUUUUCUUUCUAGAUCUGAUUUUUCUUGUUCAGCAAGAUAACUGUAUAAAUACGUAUACAUAUAUUAGAUUUAACAUAUAUUUUAACAUAUUUAACAUUAUUGGACUGCCAUCUAGGGGAGCUGAUGGGGAGAAGGAGGGAAAAAUUUGGAACAGAAAGUUUUUGCGAGGGACACAAUUACCCAUGCAUAUGUUUUGUAAAUAAAAA